RNAcentral lists this ribosomal RNA (1243 nucleotides) under metagenome. RNAcentral's name for it is "bacterial LSU rRNA". It matches the Rfam family "Bacterial large subunit ribosomal RNA", at positions 1564 to 2816 of the family's 2925-position model. The record is from RNAcentral.
UGAAUACGAGACGCUAAGGCGUCGAAGUAGUGUAUGUCAUACUUCCAAGAAAAGCUUGCACUGUCAUAGAUAAAAAACGCCUGUACCAUAACCGACACAGGUGGGUAGGUAGAGUAUACUAAGGGGCGCGAGAUAACUCUCUCUAAGGAACUCGGCAAAAUAACUCCGUAACUUCGGGAGAAGGAGUGCCUUAUUCGUAAGGUUGCAAUAACAAGAUCCAAGCAACUGUUUAUCAAAAACACAGGUCUCCGCUAAGUCGUAAGACGAUGUAUGGGGGCUGACGCCUGCCCAGUGCCAGAAGGUUAAAGAAGUUGGUUAGCAAUUGCGAAGCUGAUAACUGAAGCCCUGGUGAACGGCGGCCGUAACAAUAACGGUCCUAAGGUAGCGAAAUUCCUUGUCGGGUAAGUUCCGACCCGCACGAAAGGCGUAAUGAUUUGGAUACUGUCUCGGAGAGGGGCUCGGUGAAAUAGACUUGUCUGUGAAGAUGCGGACUACCAGCACCAGGACAGAAAGACCCUAUGAAGCUUUACUGUAACUUGAAAUUGAAAUUGGACUUUAUUCGCGCAGUAUAGGUGGGAGGCGUUGAUUAUAAUCUUGUGGGAUUAUUGGAGCCAUCAGUGAGAUACCACUCUUGUAAUGUUAGAUUUCUAACUUUGAAUCAUUAUCUGGUCAAAGAACAGUUUCAGGCGGGCAGUUUGACUGGGGCGGUCGCCUCCUAAACGGUAACGGAGGCGUACAAAGGUUUCCUCUGAACGGUUAGAAAUCGUAUCUAGAGUGUAAAGGCAUAAGGAAGCUUGACUGUGAGACCUACAAGUCGAGCAGGGACGAAAGUCGGUCUUAGUGAUCUGACGGUACUGAGUGGAAAGGCCGUCACUCAACGGAUAAAAGUUACUCUAGGGAUAACAGGCUGAUCUCCCCCAAGAGUUCACAUCGACGGGGAGGUUUGGCACCUCGAUGUCGGCUCAUCGCAUCCUGGGGCGGUAGUACGUCCCAAGGGUUGGGCUGUUCGCCCAUGAAAGCGGUACGCGAGCUGGGUUCAGAACGUCGUGAGACAAUUCGGUCCAUAUCCGGUGUAGGCGUUAGAAUAUUGAGAGGAGCCUUCUUUAGUACGAAAGGACCGAGAAGGACAUACCUCUGGUGUACCAGUUAUCGUGCCAACGGUAAACGCUGGGUAGCUAUGUAUGGAGUGGAUAACCGCUGAAAGCAUCUAAGUGGGAAGCCCACCUCAAGAUAAGUAUCCUCA